RNAcentral lists this ribosomal RNA (274 nucleotides) under Geminigera cryophila. RNAcentral's name for it is "partial Bacterial large subunit ribosomal RNA". It matches the Rfam family "Bacterial large subunit ribosomal RNA", at positions 2597 to 2883 of the family's 2925-position model. Lineage: Eukaryota; Cryptophyceae; Pyrenomonadales; Geminigeraceae. The record is from RNAcentral.
UACGUGAGCUGGGUUUAGAACGUCGUGAGACAGUUCGGUCCCUAUCUGCCAUGGGUGUUGGAGACUUGAGAGGAUCUGUCCCUAGUACGAGAGGACCGGGAUGGACGCACCUCUGGUGCACCGGUUGUGGCGCCAGCCGCAUCGCCGGGUAGCUAAGUGCGGAACGGAUAACCGCUGAAGGCAUCUAAGCGGGAAACCAGCCUCAAGACGAGGUCUCCCCAAGGGCCGUGAUAGACCAUCACGUUGAUAGGCCGCAGGUGGAAGCUCGGUAACG